UUUAAAACGGUAAGUGCCUAGGGGGCAGAC
This 30-nucleotide non-coding RNA is filed under the name Bombyx mori (domestic silkworm). Lineage: Eukaryota; Metazoa; Arthropoda; Insecta; Lepidoptera; Bombycidae. The record is from RNAcentral.